GGGGGGACUCCAGCCCCGGCUUAAACCAGUUCUUUACAAAUGGAGCGAGACUUACUGGCAGGGGACCCUGGAUGCUGGGGCGGACACCAGACUGUGAAAUUGGAAGGCAGCAGGGAGAGAGCUCUCCUCAAGCUCUAAAAAAGCAGCGUGGACCUGGAGCCCAGGACCUUGGCUUGGAGGCAGGAUAGGGCCAACCAUCUCCCGCCAGUCAAC
RNAcentral lists this long non-coding RNA (213 nucleotides) under Fukomys damarensis (Damara mole-rat). Its description in RNAcentral is "lncRNA (ENSFDAG00000021649.1)". Lineage: Eukaryota; Metazoa; Chordata; Mammalia; Rodentia; Bathyergidae. The record is from RNAcentral.